UGUCUUAAGCAUUAAUUACACUCUUGA
This 27-nucleotide non-coding RNA is filed under the name Mus musculus (house mouse). The record is from RNAcentral. Lineage: Eukaryota; Metazoa; Chordata; Mammalia; Rodentia; Muridae.